UAUUGGUCAAUGGCCCAACGGCUGAACCAGCAAUUUGGGGGAAUGGAGGUAUAUAUCCAAUGAUGCAUAUAUACACAUCGACUACGUCGUAUAAAAUUCUAAAUAGAUAAUUGAUUAUGACAGAUUUCUAUUUAUGUGUCUCGACCAAUUCUUGUGCCAGCAGUCGCGGCAACACAAGUGAGACUAGUGUUAUUCAUCUUUAUUAGGUUUAAAGGGUACCUAGACGGUUUUUUUAGCCUGAAAAGUGUACAAAAAAACUAGAGUUUUAUAUGAGAGGUAAAUAUUAGGACUAUUGGUGUAGAGAUGAAAUUUUUUGAUACUAAUUGUAUGUAUAAUGGCGAAGGCGAGCCUCUAUUUAUAAACUGACGUUAAGGGACGAAGGCUUGGGGAGCGAAUAGGAUUAGAUACCCUAGUAGUCCAGGCAGAAAAUUAUGAAUGUUAUAUAUUAAAUGCUUUUAUAAUAAUAUCAUAUUAGAAACGCAGCUAUUAUUUAGUAUUGUAGUUAUUAAAACUAUAUAAUAAUAUAAUAUGCUCUUGUUAAUUAAUGUAUAAAUGAAAGUGUAAGCAUUCCACCUCAAGAGUAAUGUGGCAACGCAGGAACUGAAAUCAUUAGACCGUUUGUGAAACCAGUAGUGAAGUAUGUUAUUUA
This 649-nucleotide ribosomal RNA is filed under the name Pseudocercospora fijiensis. RNAcentral describes it as "SSU rRNA". It matches the Rfam family "Bacterial small subunit ribosomal RNA", at positions 362 to 948 of the family's 1533-position model. Lineage: Eukaryota; Fungi; Ascomycota; Dothideomycetes; Mycosphaerellales; Mycosphaerellaceae. The record is from RNAcentral.